UACAGAGGUCCCAAGCGUUGUUCGGAUUCACUGGGCGUAAAGGGUGCGUAGGUGGUUGGGUAAGUCUGAUGUGAAAUCUCCGAGCCUAACUCGGAAACUGCAUCGGAUACUAUUCAGCUAGAGGGUUGGAGGGGGGACUGGAAUUCUCGGUGUAGCAGUGAAAUGCGUAGAUAUCGAGAGGAACACCAGUGGCGAAGGCGAGUCCCUGGACAACUCCUGACACUGAGGCACGAAAGCUAGGGGAGCAAACAGG
This 253-nucleotide ribosomal RNA is filed under the name uncultured bacterium. Its description in RNAcentral is "partial 16S ribosomal RNA". It matches the Rfam family "Bacterial small subunit ribosomal RNA", at positions 524 to 776 of the family's 1533-position model. The record is from RNAcentral.